RNAcentral lists this ribosomal RNA (404 nucleotides) under uncultured Candidatus Solibacter sp. RNAcentral's name for it is "bacterial SSU rRNA". It matches the Rfam family "Bacterial small subunit ribosomal RNA", at positions 355 to 776 of the family's 1533-position model. The record is from RNAcentral. Lineage: Bacteria; Pseudomonadati; Acidobacteriota; Terriglobia; Bryobacterales; Solibacteraceae.
UGGGGAAUCUUGCACAAUGGGGGAAACCCUGAUGCAGCGACGCCGCGUGAACGAUGAAGCCCUUCGGGGUGUAAAGUUCUUUCGACGGGGACGAUAAUGACGGUACCCGGAGAAGAAGCUGCGGCUAACUACGUGCCAGCAGCCGCGGUAAUACGUAGGCAGCAAGCGUUGUUCGGAAUUACUGGGCGUAAAGAGUGCGUAGGCGGUUGACUAAGUUUGGUGUGAAAUCUCCCGGCUUAACUGGGAGGGUGCGCCGAAAACUGGCCAGCUAGAGUGUGGGAGAGGAUAGUGGAAUUCCUGGUGUAGCGGUGAAAUGCGUAGAUAUCAGGAGGAACACCUGCGGUGUAGACGGCUAUCUGGACCAUGACUGACGCUGAGGCACGAAAGCGUGGGUAGCAAACAGG